Molecule: long non-coding RNA, 392 nt
Filed under: Arabidopsis lyrata
Lineage: Eukaryota; Viridiplantae; Streptophyta; Magnoliopsida; Brassicales; Brassicaceae
Description: long non-coding RNA (ALYR_LNC001947)
Source: RNAcentral
CCUUGGCCCAUUAUCUUAUUUUUAUGUUCAAACUUUGCAUUUAAUGCCUUUGUAAUUUCCUAGAUACUUUGCAUGAGCUUGCAUGAGUGUGGACUUGUGCAUGCUCGUGCAUGUUAUCCUUCUCCUCUCUUCUCCUUCAUCCUCCUCUUCUUUAUAUUCUCUUUGUAGCUCUCAUUUGCAAACCAUCAAACAUUUUAUCAAAAAUCUCUCUUUUACUUGUUUGAUCCGAGAAGUGCGUAAUAUCUUCUCAACUUGUUUCCUUCUUAGUGUGUAAUAUCUAAGUUGUAUUCAAGCUCGUAGUCUAAGAGAUUUCCACCUCUCUUGGAAGUACAAAACGUUCCACCUUCAAUCCGCUGCAACAGUUCAUCCGUUUGUCCGUUCAUCUUCCACCU